CGUUCGGGUCGGGAGUCGCCGUUUGAACGGAGUGCUUUGUGUAUGAAAUACAGGAAUCGGCGAGCGCUGCGUUAAUGGUGUCCCUGCGUGUGUGUGUGAGGUCGGCAGCCGAGCUGGGGCUGGAGGUGUUGCUGUGGGUCAGAAGGUUGGAGCGCUGUCCCGCGUUCUGCGAGGAAUGGGGCUGCUCGUUGCAAACAGCGCGGAGUCGUGCAAGUGGUAAUGGGGCGUUUUGGAGGCCGGCGUGUGUGGCAGCGCUGCGAUCCGCAGGGCAGGGGCUGGGCUUGGGCUGCGGUCGGGCCAGAGAGCUCCCAGAUCGCAGGGCCACCUAUGGAAUUUUCUCUUGAAAUGUCUUCCAACAUGUGAAAAGAGUUAGGUUAGUAAUACGAUUAACGAUAUCUAAUCAGAUUAAAAUUACCAGCAUAACUCUCUCGAGAAAGGUGAGCGCGGCGGACUGUCAGUGCUGUUCCCUCUGCUUUGUGCCGGGCUGAGGAGGGUCCUCUGAGUGCUGUGCUGGUGGGACCCAACGCACGCAGAGAGGGUCUGUGCUGUGGGAUGGGGCUGCCUGCCAGCAGAGGCGCCUGCCCGGGGGUGCUGCCCGGCUCUGUGCAAUGAGAAAGGAAAGGAACGGAUGCUGCUGCUCCCCGGAGCAGCGCUGGGUGGGGGCACGGCAUGCUUUGUGCUGUGGGGUCACCUGCUGAGGGGACGUUCAGAAGGAGGUGAGGCAGCCCCGGUCCUUCCUGCUUCUCAAAGCAAAGCAUGAGAACUUCAGCUUCUCCGCCUCCCUUGUUCGCCUGGGCACAACGGGAGCAGAGCUGGAGCCUUCCUGUUGCUCUUUGGUGAAGCCCUGCGUUUCAUGCUCAUCUGUCCGUGGCUCCUUUGUCACCUAUUGCAGAAUUACUGAAUAGAUUCAUCUUUUGCUGCUCGUCGGAGCCACAGGGGAGCUGCUUCUGCCUUGGUGGGAGCGUGCCAGCUGGCUCUCGUUGUGCAGGCAGAUCCAUCUUGAGUUCAUCUCCAGGCUGGUCUUCUGCGUGUGAGAGAUGUUGUCCCUUCAGUGUGUUUUGGAAGCUGAGGUGAGGGAAGGAGCCCUGAUCUUCUGGCAGCUGCCAGGGGAAAAGUAAGUAUUACAGAACUUGCUUUCUGAGAGAGCAAUGCAGUUUCUUUGCGAUGAAGACUCACUGUGUGCAUGAGUCAAUUCCCUUCGUUUUUUGUGGGAUGUAAAGGUCACUUUGUCUGCAUCUGAACUAUGACAAAAUCAAUAGUCUAAUCAAUUUCUAAAGUAGAUUUAGUCUAAAUGACUUCUGUUGUGUGCUGUGAGCUUUGAUGUGUGAACGUGUCCCAAAAAGCCACCAGAAC
RNAcentral lists this long non-coding RNA (1353 nucleotides) under Gallus gallus (chicken). Its description in RNAcentral is "lncRNA (ENSGALG00010022469.1)". Lineage: Eukaryota; Metazoa; Chordata; Aves; Galliformes; Phasianidae. The record is from RNAcentral.